RNAcentral lists this ribosomal RNA (343 nucleotides) under Escherichia coli. Its description in RNAcentral is "partial 23S ribosomal RNA". It matches the Rfam family "Bacterial large subunit ribosomal RNA", at positions 1292 to 1637 of the family's 2925-position model. Lineage: Bacteria; Pseudomonadati; Pseudomonadota; Gammaproteobacteria; Enterobacterales; Enterobacteriaceae. The record is from RNAcentral.
GAAUGCUGACAUAAGUAACGAUAAAGCGGGUGAAAAGCCCGCUCGCCGGAAGACCAAGGGUUCCUGUCCAACGUUAAUCGGGGCAGGGUGAGUCGACCCCUAAGGCGAGGCCGAAAGGCGUAGUCGAUGGGAAACAGGUUAAUAUUCCUGUACUUGGUGUUACUGCGAAGGGGGGACGGAGAAGGCUAUGUUGGCCGGGCGACGGUUGUCCCGGUUUAAGCGUGUAGGCUGGUUUUCCAGGCAAAUCCGGAAAAUCAAGGCUGAGGCGUGAUGACGAGGCACUACGGUGCUGAAGCGACAAAUGCCCUGCUUCCAGGAAAAGCCUCUAAGCAUCAGGUAACAU